UGUUAGAAUUUAGUUGCCUUCAGUUGAUGAGAUAGAACGGCCAUGACCGUCACCCUGCCGACUAGCAAAGAAAACUUGGCCACCGUAUGCCAAGCAUGAAAUUACUGUCCUCUGCGUGUUACGUGAAAGCUCUUGGCGGGGGCUAGGAUUUUCCUCUUGAAGGGAGGUCUGUCCUGGUUCAAAAACAGAAGGAAAACAAAAGAAACAUGAAAAGAAAAAACAAAUCACUGUCGACUUAAAAGAGAGAGGACGACGGCGGAAACUAAAGAGAGGGAGACACAAUGAAUAGAGGAAUUUCCAAGACAUCGAUAUGGGGAAAAAGAAAAGUAUUACCAAGUGACAGAAU
Long non-coding RNA from Spea bombifrons (plains spadefoot toad), 346 nucleotides. RefSeq lists it as uncharacterized. Lineage: Eukaryota; Metazoa; Chordata; Amphibia; Anura; Pelobatidae. The transcript is spliced from 2 exons. The record is from RefSeq and is a predicted model, not a curated record.